AGUAAAGUGCCUGAAUAAAAGGGUUAUCGUGAUAGGAUAAAUUAUGUAAGCCUUUCUUACCUUUACUA
Molecule: transfer RNA, 68 nt
Filed under: Panesthia parva
Lineage: Eukaryota; Metazoa; Arthropoda; Insecta; Blattodea; Blaberidae
Description: tRNA-Ile
Source: RNAcentral